Molecule: long non-coding RNA, 1128 nt
Organism: Cyprinus carpio (common carp)
Lineage: Eukaryota; Metazoa; Chordata; Actinopteri; Cypriniformes; Cyprinidae
Exons: 3
Source: RefSeq, a predicted model, not a curated record
CUUUACUUAUUCUUCUUAUCUAAUCAUUUCAUCUUCAUCACUCCUUUAGACUUAAACGGUUUGCCUCGUCGCCUGAAGACAUCAGAUUUUACACCAGAUUCCCCUCAUACGAGCAUCUGAUGGCGUUCUGGAACCUGAUCGGGGCAGCAACAGCAAAAAUUGUUAGGGUCACCAGGGCAAAGAAAACCUAAGCUACUGCCACAACCAGUGAAAGCCCUUUAACCAGACCAACUAAACUGCUGCCAAUCUUUGAGUUCUUCCUCUUCCUCACAUACCUGUCCACUGGCUGUACCCAGAGAGAGUUGGGUCAUAGAUACAACAUCCACAGAGCAACAGUCAGCCGGAUCAUUGUGACUUACCCUCGUAGUUGUGCAGAUAACUCGAUGUGUAGAGUUUAAAGCCUUGUCGGAGCAGGGGACCAGGCAUCAACAAUACGAUGAACAUCGCUGACUCUUAUUUUCGGAAGAUCCUGGAGACAUCGAGUAAAAAAAGUUACAUUUUCGGCAACACGCAAGGAAACAGGAAACCGAUAUGCCGACUUCUGGCGACAGCGGAAGUUCGUCACUACGCUUGUGCACAGAGUCAAUUACAUUCUAUAUUUAAUCGUCCUGGUUCUGAUUUCUUUUGGUAUUUACAAAUAAGGCAUUAUGUUAAAGAAGUCAUUCCACAAUUUGUUAGCAAAACAAAGACUAAUACAUUUGAUGAAUGUGUUAUGUCAAAUCCAACCUCUAGAGUCUAGACAUUUGAGCUCACGAUUUCUUAAUGUCUUUCAAUGUCUGUAAACACAAACCACCUAAAAGAAGCUUGGGCCAAGGAUUUUGCUGUAGACUUGUCAGAUUAAAUAUGGAAUGACUGCCUUAGUAAGAUCCAAUAUUGUUCAAUAAAUGCAUAGAACAAUCUGUACAUAGUACAAUAUAUGUACUGUUUAAGGCAGUACAUAGAGUGUACUACUCCAAAUAAAAUAACACUAUUUCUCCAAUAUGUGAUAGAUGUUAAGUAACAGAGGGCACCCUAUCGCACCUGUUCUGAUUUUGCCCUAAUUUUGACUUUUUUUUUGUAGUUUAUUCAUGUUCUUCAAGCCAUCUCUGGUAUUUUCAUAAUUAAGUAUACUUAUAAUCCAUUGAUAAU